Long non-coding RNA from Dermochelys coriacea (leatherback sea turtle), 4064 nucleotides. RefSeq lists it as uncharacterized. Lineage: Eukaryota; Metazoa; Chordata; Testudines; Dermochelyidae. The transcript has 3 exons. The record is from RefSeq and is a predicted model, not a curated record.
AUUCAGGUUGUGAUCCACUACAACCCCCAGAUCCUUUUCAGCAGUACUGCUUCCCCAUUUUGUACUUGGGCAAAUUGAUUUUUUUCUUCCUAGGUGUAAUACUUUGCACUUGUCUUCACUGAAUUUAAUCUGUUGACUUGAAACCCAUUGUGCAAUUUAUUAAGAUCAUUUUGAACUUUAAUCCUGUCCUCCAAAGGGCUUUGCAUUCAUUAGCUCAGGGACAGGCAUCUCCAGCUGGCUUGGAGAUAACGCGAACAGGCCUGCUUAGGCAGGUCAGUAUCUUUUAUUCAAGAAUUGGUGCUACAAAGUUUUAUUUGGCUUCUGUCUCCAACUCAUGGAGAUAUUGUGAAAUAACAAUAGUGCUUUUGGCAUGCACUGUACAGAACCUUUUGUUAAAUAAUCUCAACAGGUGAAUCUCAUAACCCCCAAUUUACAGAUUGGGAAACUGAGGCACGGAUGUAAAUUACUUGCCCAAAGCCACCCAGCAAGUCAGGAAUAGAAUUCAGAUCUCAGUUCCCAGUUCCUUGCUCUUACCACUAUGCUAUGCUGGUGGUCUGUCUCCUGUUUUCUGGACUAGCAUAUUUGGCCCUCUAGAGUUACACUGACAAUUCAGAGGUUACCACAAGAAUCUUUCAUUGCUUUUGAUACAAAUAAGGUGGAAUAGAAGAGAAUUGUGCAUUGCAAAGGAAAGACAUCAGAGCUUGGGCAGCUGCACUAGAAGCUGUAGCAAGUGGCCUGCUCUGUCUAUGCUGCUUGAGAAUUUGGAUGCACUGAGCUUCCUGAGAUAAAAAGAGUUUAUUUUCUUCUUUGUGUCUUUGGUCUCUUUUCCUUUGUUUCCCCUUUUACUAUUUUUUUAGCUUGCUUCCCUGUCUUUCUGGUGGCUUUGUGGGGGGUGACAUAGGAAGAGAGGGGAAUCUGUAAAGAAAAGCAGAAUGGCUGUUUCUGAGAAACAAGUGGUCUUAGCAUUAAAGAGCCCAGAAGAGAGUUUUGAAGAUACAGCAUGUGAUUGACCAGCACAAUGGUAAAAGGAAAUUAGACAGGAAUAUUCCUGUCUUAUUUCAGAGCUCCAUCCAUCUAUCCCAGCAGGAUACUGAGUGACAAUAUAGAACCAGUGGAACACAGGAUAGCAUAUCAACAUCAGAACAACUCUCCCAGGCCGAAUUUGCUCCAGGGAUGGACUCUUACCUUGGCCUUGUCUAGGCUAGGAAAAAAGGGUCCCUUUUUCAAGUCAAAUUAACUCUGUUGAGCUCAUUUAAAGAUUGAAAACCCCAGUUCAGGCUAACCAUGACCUAUUAAAUUCAAGCCAAAGGGUAUUAAAAAAAACUGUCCACAUUCAUGUUGAAUGGGGUUUUCUGUGGAGUAAUAAGCUCCUGUGACCUAGCUCAGUUGAGGGUGAUGGGGAAAGCACCUUUUCCCCUAAUCUAUAGGAGGCCUGAGAAUGGAUGAGCCCUUUUGUGGCUGUGACACCACAUCUAGGUUAGGCAGGUUUUACCUAUGGCUUUGUAAACACCAACAGGGAGAUUAUCUUUACUUGAGAUUUUUAGCUUAAACUGAUCCCCUGGGUAAGUUACAAGUGCAUUGGCAUUGUCCAGACUAACCUUUGCAAAGGUGUUAACAACUAGAGUGGAUGUACCCCAAAAUGGUGAUUGAUUUAUAAAAUCAGCAGUUCAUAGAUAGGGUUCCCUUCUGGCCUUGUGAUUAUUUAUCUAAAGAAUGUGAACAACAUGGAAACACCCAUGCCUUUGAACUGACCUCUUGUUGUUCUCCUUUUGGUGGGCCUAGUUUUGAUGUCUGCAGUGCACGUAGUUUAUUAAGCAAAAACACUUUAUCCUUUCCUUCCUACAAUAAAGAAAAAAAUGAAUGUUAUUAACUUGAGUGUGCAUAUUAUUCCUAAUGCAAUCGCAGGGCUUGUCUACACAGGGAAAUUGACCAGGAUAGCAAUUACAAUCGAAGUGGAAUAAUUGUGGAAUAAAAUCACAUUUAUUCCAGAAUAUCAUGUCCACACAAGAGUUAUACUGGCACAGCUAUAAUAGAAAAUGACUGGCAUAUGUAUAGCAGAAUAAUUUCCCAGGGUAGAUCAGACCCAAGUUAUUCUAACUCGGUUAGUCAAAGUUGUUAUCCCUAGGUGGGCUGUAUCCCCAAAGAUUUACUGAGGAGGCAGGGAGAGAAGCAGCCUGAAACACUAGCUUUCCCAAAGCCAGCUGAGAGAAUGCAGAAGAGGGAGUUGUUAUGCAUUUAGUUACUGUCUCAAAUCCUGCAGGAAUCUGAUUAAACAGAUUAUGUAUCUACCCUGCAGGGGAGGGGGGGGGAAGGAGAGAUGAAAUCAUCUCCUCCAGCUGCAGGCAGACAGACAGGAAGCCUGCAGUACAGCCCCUCUGCAGUCACUACUCUAGCCAACAGGCUGUAUCUUUCUGCCUCCAUUGGGGUGGUCUGGGCCACUAGAACAGAUCCAGUGGUGCCCACAUAUCAGUGCAUUCGGAGCCAGCAUGGAGCCCCCUCCCUGGCAUAUGAUAAUUCUUAUUCUCGCGCCCAAGGAGCAUACACAGGACCUUCGCCAACUGCUGAAUUUCACCCAAGAUCACUUCUACACAGACUUUACAUGCAGAAAAUAGGCCCCACAUCCCAGCUUCAGAAAGUGAGUCAGCUCUGGCAGCUUCUGUCCUCUCCCUAGCAAGCCAGCCAGCUCUCCAGACUAACCAAAUCCUGCUUAGCCCAAAGUCUCAGGGAUGGGGGCGCAUGACCCAAAACUUUCACACAACUCAAGGUGCUACUCUAAGUCUGUCUUUAUUGUCACAAAAGCCUUUGGGAUGAUGAACUUCAGACCCCUCCUCACACAUACCAAGCAAAAAGCAUAAAAAUAAUAUUUACGAAAGUAAAACUAAUUGUACUUUUAUUUUCACAAAGAAAAUAAAGCAACUGCUCUGUGAUGUUUUUUUACAACACCCAGGCUUUACUGUCCUAUUAGGCGUUAGCAUUAAUGGGAAUGGCAUUUGCACUGAGAAGACUAUACCCACCAAUGCAAUUUCUGUCUAUUUAGAAACCAAAUCUAACAAAGACACAGUUUGCAGAGCUGAAUCAGACUACUAGUUCCUAAAAGUACCAUAGCCUGACACCUAGCCAUCUGACACCACACCUCUGCGGAAAGCAAACCAUCUCCUUGCUUUAAGUAACGCCUCUGACAAAUUAUGUAAUGCCCUGCAUAACCUUAAAAUAAACUGCAUACAGAGUUGAUUAGUCAAGUGUGUGUAGGGGGAUUUUUUCCUCUUCACAUUUGUGCUAAAACAGAAACCUAUCUGCAUGCACGUGUCGUAUGCAACAGACAUGAGGAAACCAGCUAACAUGUUUGUUGCCUGUUUUUUUAUUUAAAUAAUAGAAACCUGAAAAACAAACUUACGUUAAUAAUUUGCUCGUGCAGGAGUCUGACCAUUAUCUUUCUUCCUUCUAUGAUUUGCCAGUAAAGAUAUGUGAUCAUUCUGAAAAGAAAAGAAAAGAAAGUUCAACACGUAAGUAUUUAUAUUUGGGUGAUGCUUCUCUUCCAAAUAACUGCCAUAUAAGAAGAGCUCUUGUUCAUUUUACACAGUGAUUAUUUAAAAUGAUCACCUCAUGAAGAAGUUUCCCUCACUUUCUCCACACCACCUAGUUUCAUUUAUGAACACUUACAGGACGAUGACGGUGAGGAUAAAGAAGAAAUGCACACUUCCAAUUAAGUUAUGAUAAAUCCACACCACCCAUUUCGAGCCGGAAUAGCUGUCCAAUAUAUGUAUCCACCCAGAAACAGCAUCAAUUAUGGAGGUCAAGCCUUGGAACGGACCACACUGUUUUGAAGGCGUCCGCCUGGAAAAACAAGACAAAGUAUAUUUUUUAAAAAGUGCUAGUUCAUUUCCAUUGGGCCUCUGUACCCUCACCCUUGGAUUAGUUACACCCAUUGCCACUGAGUACUAGGUCUUCUUGGGAGACUGCAUCCCGUUCAACUCACUAAAGUGUAAAUGCCUGAGCAAAUCUUAACUGAUAGAGGGCUUGCUGCAUGUCUGUGUUUGAGUUUUUACACUGGUUGUUGGUAUCAU